This 903-nucleotide ribosomal RNA is filed under the name Triticum aestivum (bread wheat). RNAcentral's name for it is "partial small subunit ribosomal RNA". The record is from RNAcentral. Lineage: Eukaryota; Viridiplantae; Streptophyta; Magnoliopsida; Poales; Poaceae.
AUGAAGCAUGGUUGUGUCUUCAGUGCGCACCGCCGGAUGAACGUCAUGUUGGGACACUCUAUCCCUAAUUUAUGCCGCUUCAGCUUGGAUGAGUCUCCAUCGUGUGGAACCGGACUAGAAAGCUGCGACAAUGAUUCCCGUUGCCCACCGCUAUGGAUCGUGCCUUCCAUGAAGAACACCUGGGACUGGAACCUGGAGGAGGACAUUAGUACUAGUAGAAUUGAGAUUGAAUGCACUUUCUUCCCCGUCUUCCACUCUUCUUCCUCCUCUCUUCUUCUUCCUCCUCUCUUCUUCUUCCUCCUCUCUUCCCCAUCGUCGGCCGCACACCAUUUACCCCCGCUCACUGCUCGCCCGCCCGGGCCAUCUUCCUUGUCGAAGAAGGAUUGGCCGGUGCUGCCGGCUGGCGUCAAGUUCGAUCCCAUGGACCAGGAGCUAAUCGAGCACCUUGAGGCCAAAUUCAGUGCUGACAGCGCGAGAUUUCAGUCUCUCAUCGAUUUGUUCAUACCAACCAUCGACAACGAGCAUGGCAUAUGCUACACCCACCUUAGAAACUUCCAGGGCGUUCAAAAGGGGCACGUGGACAUGUCGCAAGAUACAGUCGGAGUGCGGCAUGCACGCGAUGUGGCACAAGACCAGCAAUACCUUGCCGGUGAUGGUCAAUGGACGGCAAGACGGGCAGCAAAAAAGGUUCUGGUGAUGCACACCAACAAGAACUUCGACCAGCAAAGGACCAACUGGGUGAUGCACCAGUACCACCUCGGGGACCUGGAGCAAGAAAAGGAGCGGGAGCUUGUCCUCUGCAAGAUUUUCUACCACACGAACACUAGGGCCAGGAGUAAAAAGAUUAUAAGUCAAGCAAGUUUCAACUGGGAUGUAGACUGCCCAGGGUUGGUUUUGUUUUGA